This 686-nucleotide ribosomal RNA is filed under the name uncultured bacterium. RNAcentral's name for it is "bacterial SSU rRNA". It matches the Rfam family "Bacterial small subunit ribosomal RNA", at positions 805 to 1501 of the family's 1533-position model. The record is from RNAcentral.
AACGAUGAUAACUCGCUGUNGGCGAUACACAGUCAGCGGCUUAGNGAAAGCGUUAAGUUAUCCACCUGGGGAGUACGCUCGCAAGAGUGAAACUCNAAAGGAAUUGACGGGGGCCCGCACAAGCGGAGGAACAUGUGGUUUAAUUUCGAUGAUACGCGAGGAACCUUACCUGGGCUUAAAUGUGCUAUGACCGCUGGAGAAAUUCGGCUUUUCGCAAGAACAGGGUACAAGGUGCUGCAUGGUUGUCGUCAGCUCGUGCCGUGAGGUGUCGGGUUAAGUCCCAUAACGAGCGCAACCCUUAUUGUCAGUUGCUAACAGGUCAUGCUGAGGACUCUGGCGAGACUGCCACCGUAAGGUGUGAGGAAGGUGGGGAUGACGUCAAAUCAGCACGGCCCUUAUGUCCAGGGCUACACACGUGUUACAAUGGCCAGUACAAAGGGCAGCUGCCGGGCGACCGGAUGCUAAUCUCUAAAGCUGGUCUCAGUUCGGAUCGAAGUCUGCAACCCGACUUCGUGAAGCUGGAUUCGCUAGUAAUCGCGCAUCAGCCAUGGCGCGGUGAAUACGUUCCCGGGCCUUGUACACACCGCCCGUCAAACCAUGGGAGUUGGGGGUACCUGAAGUAUGUGACCGCGAGGAGCGUCCUAGGGUAAAACCAAUGACUGGGGUUAAGUCGUAACAAGGUAACC